Triticum aestivum (bread wheat) is the source of this 115-nucleotide non-coding RNA. NCBI's taxonomy places the organism in Eukaryota, Viridiplantae, Streptophyta, Magnoliopsida, Poales, Poaceae. The record is from Rfam.
CUACCACUCCCUCCGUCCAAAAAUACUUGUCAUUGAAAUGGAUAUAUCUAGAUGUAAUUUAGUUCUAGACACAUCCAUUUUGAUGACAAGUAAUUCCGGACGAAGGGAGUAUUAU